This 75-nucleotide transfer RNA is filed under the name Aponsila sp. FS-2019. Its description in RNAcentral is "tRNA-Cys". Lineage: Eukaryota; Metazoa; Arthropoda; Insecta; Hemiptera; Plataspidae. The record is from RNAcentral.
GGCUUUAUAGUCAAAGUUUAAUUUAUGAUACUAGAUUGCAAUUCUAGGGGUAGGAUGGAUAAUUCCUUAAAGCUU